ACCUCAAGAUUUUUCGGGCACACUUCAUUACCUUCUCGAUCCACUGGCAAUGUUCGUCACCCACAUCUGGGCUUUGGGUUGCCAUGGAGACGUUAAGCGACAGCAGCUGACAGAAGAAGUACUCCCCUCUGCGGAUGUACUGGUCAUCGUCUUACAUUGGCGGACAAGCUAUUAUUAUUACCUUCUGAUGGCGAGCAAUGUGGAGAACUCUAAGGUGUGACUGGGGAGAGGGAAAGUGUCUAAAACGGAGAGAGGACUAACCGCCGAACCUGGCACUGUGGGGGAUGAGCCGGACCAACAGGGAGCCUCAAGUGGAGGAUUGGAAGGAAACGGAAACUGCGAUAGUAUGAACACAUCACCCGUUCAUCCGGCCUUGCCAAGAUGACCCUGCAAGGCAGCGUCCAGGGAAAAGGGAACAGAGGCAGAC
Aplysia californica (California sea hare) is the source of this 427-nucleotide long non-coding RNA. RefSeq lists it as uncharacterized. NCBI's taxonomy places the organism in Eukaryota, Metazoa, Mollusca, Gastropoda, Aplysiida, Aplysiidae. The transcript is spliced from 4 exons. The record is from RefSeq and is a predicted model, not a curated record.